AGAGUUUGAUCCUGGCUCAGAUUGAACGCUGGCGGCGUGCCUAACACAUGCAAGUCGAGCGGUAACAGGUGUAGCAAUACAUGCUGACGAGCGGCGAACGGGUGAGUAAUGCUUUGGAAUCUUCCCAGUAGUGGGGAAUAACCAGUCGAAAGAUUGGCUAAUACCGCAUACGUCUGUAAAGGGAAAGCGGGGGCUCGUAAGACCUCGCGCUAUUGGAUGAGCCAAAGUCGGAUUAGCUAGUUGGUGGGGUAAUGGCCUACCAAGGCGACAAUCCGUAGCUGGUCUGAGAGGACGACCAGCCACACCGGAACUGAGACACGGUCCGGACUCCUACGGGAGGCAGCAGUGGGGAAUAUUGGACAAUGGGGGAAACCCUGAUCCAGCGACGCCGCGUGUGUGAAGAAGGCCUGCGGGUUGUAAAGCACUUUUAGUGGGGACAAAAAGCUACGGACUAACACUCUGUGGUCUUGAUUUAACCCAAAGAAAAAGCACCGGCUAACUCUGUGCCAGCAGCCGCGGUAAUACAGAGGGUGCGAGCGUUAAUCGGAAUUACUGGGCGUAAAGCGCGCGUAGACGGUUUUGUAAGUCAGAUGUGAAAUCCCUGGGCUCAACCUGGGAACUGCAUUUCGAAACUGCAUGGCUAGAGUAUCGAAGAGGGAAGUGGAAUUUCCGGUGUAGCGGUGAAAUGCGUAGAUAUCGGAAGGAACACCAGUGGCGAAAGCGACUUCCUGGUCGAAUACUGACGUUCAUGUGCGAAAGCGUGGGGAGCAAACAGGAUUAGAUACCCUAGUAGUCC
Molecule: ribosomal RNA, 796 nt
Filed under: uncultured bacterium
Lineage: Bacteria
Description: bacterial SSU rRNA
Rfam family: Bacterial small subunit ribosomal RNA
Source: RNAcentral